Clupea harengus (Atlantic herring) is the source of this 3297-nucleotide long non-coding RNA. RefSeq lists it as uncharacterized. NCBI's taxonomy places the organism in Eukaryota, Metazoa, Chordata, Actinopteri, Clupeiformes, Clupeidae. The record is from RefSeq and is a predicted model, not a curated record. The transcript is spliced from 2 exons.
AUACUCUGUAAAACAGUAUAUCUGGGUUUUUUUUUAUGUUAAUAUGUUGUAACAGAAAGGGUCACCAAUUUGCUUGUGCCAUCCUCUCUCCCCUACCACAGAGCUGAACUGUGCGAACAACAGGAUGUCUUUGGUGCUUCCCAUCUCCUCCAUGGAGGAUCUACCCUUGGAUGAUCUCAAGCUAAACGAUCCCUCUUGCCCCGUGUUCCAUAACACCACUCAUGUGACUGCCAGCUUCCCUCUGUCUAGCUGUGGCACGAAGGCAGUGGUAAGUUUCUCCUUAAAUGCUUACACAGGGAGCCUGUCAAAGAAUGGAAGGCAACCACAUUGUUAGUUUCUGGGUAUGUACUUCAGUUCUACUUAAUACAUGCCCUCCCCUCUAACAGCUUUGAUAGUGCCAAAAAGGGUCGAUCGUCAGGGGCUAUCCAGUUAGGGCAUGCACUGCAGCGUCUUAGAGAUGGCGCCGGGGAGGCGGCAGGAAUCAUCUUGAUCCGUGGAAUAUAGCAUUUAUGGUAUUGCUUUUAGGAGGUUGAGAAUCUCUCAAGGGUGCUGAAUAAAAGAGAGCAGACUGUUGGGUGAGCCAUCCUUAUAUAGGGCAGGUGCUAUCACCUGAUUGGCCAGACGGGGUUGAUGAGUCUUUUUUCAGGGUGAUGCUGCCUACGGCAGAUGGGAUUGAUACUAAUGAAGUCGUUAGAGGGCGGAGCAUGUAUGACGUACAACUAAUGGAUGCUUAACUCAUUCUUUGAAAGAUCAGAUGAGUCACCGUGUCUACCGUGUCUUCUAGCACGCUGGCUCAGAGUUGGUCUACACAAACGUGCUGAAGAGCACAAGUGUCCCUUCUCCCAUUACCCGACGGCCCAUUUUGAUUCUGCCCCUGGCCUGCCGUAUCAAGGCGCAGGAAGCCAGUGGCCCCAACUACAAAAUCACCAUUCCCCAAGAGGAGAAGGUGUUUGGGGUGGUCUCCUUUUGGGUCGAAUUCCAUCUCCCAGGGGAAGGUCCCUUGGGCAAUUUAACCCGCAAGGCGGAGUUUCGGAGGUUGCCGAGGGAGGCAAGAGAAUUUUCAGCAAAGACUAACCGGUUUUCGGAGCUGGACAUGUACGUGUUCUCCAACAGCUCAAUGACACGUGCCCAGCUGAUGAUGGGAGGAUGCAAGGAAUCGGAGACAGAAGACUUUGCUCUGACUUCUCCUAUUGUCGACAGUGGGUGUAACGAAGGCAACAAAACUCUGGAGAUUCUUGUACAAACUUCACUGAUUAAAGUAUACCGCAUUGAUUUGGCUAAAGUCGAUGUAGUGGGCAACACGGUCAGUUAAUCAACUUCUAUUUUUUUAUAUACUUAUAAACAACAUUUCUUACUCUUUAUUAUGUUGUAUAGUGUAUGCCAGUUCAUAGUGGUCAUAGAGGCUACUGUAUAUAAUCUAUUCUAAUCUGUAGAUCUAAUCAAAAGAAAAGCCAGUUACCAGUUAUAUAAUCUAAUCUAAUCUAUGCAUGAAUAAAAAAAAACCUGUGACAAGACAACAUUUUUGAGAACAUCUGAAAAUGCCACUCUUUGUGAAAGGUCUGAAAGAGCGCUGAAGUAAUCUAAAUUCUCACAUUCUACUGUACAGUUCAGCUGUUUUUAUUUAAUAACAUUAAAUCUUAAUUUAUCAGAAUACAGAUGUUUCUCAAAGAUGUCUCACAAAAGAUUGCACAAUUUGGCUAAAAUGUGUGAGGUAUAUAUGUACAGUACAUGUGUUUUUGUAAUGAUUUUUGAGGGUUAAAAAGGUAGUGACUGGUAGUGACUAUUCUCCCAUGUGCUAAAGUAAAAAGCUACAAACCUUUCAGCCUACCUGUAUUCUCCAGGUAGUAUUCUUUACCACACCCUAACAGUAGCUCUCUAGUAGACUCUAAAUAGCCUGAGAGUAGACUCUCAACUCUGAUGCAUGUUCAGGAUUGUUGUCUUUGCAAUGACCCUCUUCAUGAUUCUAAAGCCUGAACGGAAGGCAGGCCUCUGCAGAAUACACUUUCCUUUCAGUCACCAGAUCACAACCCUGGUGACUGGACAGAGUAAAACAUGGUGUGCCUUUUCAUGGCAAUUUACAAUAAUGUGAUUUCUCACGUUUUGGCAUAAAGUUAUAGAAUCCCGAAUAGAGUAAAAUUAUAGAACUAUCGUUGUGGCAAAUGUUAGGCCUUCAGAAUGAGCUUAGCUAGAAGCUAGAAACUGACAUGGUGUAUACUUGAUGUUGACUUGACAUUUUUGUAUCUCUUCCUAAAGAUGUGGGUGGAAUGUGAAGUGAGCAUGUGUGUGACCACACAGCCCUCUGAAAAGUGCCCAGAACCAUGUGACCCCGCAGCUGUUGGGAAUGUCUUGGUGUCACAAUAUAUUUCUCGUAACUAUACUGUACGGUCUGGGCCUGUCCUCAUCGUGGACGCCGCAGUUACAACAGUAGCUACAACCACCACAGCCCCUACAACGACAACACAGACCACCACUACCACUACCACUACCACUACAACUACUACUACUACAGCCCCUACAACUACCACACCCAACCCUACCACAGCAGCAGGUAAAGUCUUCCAAGGUACAGAGGUAUCGCACAUUAUUAUCAAGCCAUCUAUACAGACACACAAGGAACAACUCAACACUCACUAACAUGUCUCUCCGAUUCUAUCCUUCAACAGCUUCAGAGAGGAGUUUCAUCUUGGCUGUGGGAGUGACCACAGCGGUCUUUCACAUGUUCUACCGGUGCCUUCUCUACUAAAAAGAAAACGAGCAAUCAAGAUUCAGCAAAGCAGAGGAAACCACACAGACUCACAUAUUCUUGCUUUAUGUGAGAUUAUAAACUCUACUACGACUCUACGUCAGCAUAGGCCUGGGAGGUUCAGGAUCAUUUUAAACAGUAGAUAGGUGAUAUUUUCUAUAUUUAAUUUAUUUUACAUUUAUAUUUUUUCUUGUGCGCAAAAGAUAAUAACAUCUUCCCACAAGAUAACUAACUUGCGCGCACAGAUACAAAAAAUAUCACCUUUUGGGACUUUAGGGGCUGUGGAGUACUGUGCACCUUGCUAUAAACACACUCUUUAGGGGCUGUGGAGUACUCUGCACCUUGCUAUAAACACACUCUUUUGCAUCACUUGCAUAGUUAAAAAGAAAAGAAUACAUUUAUUUUGGUUCCAUACAUUAUGCACAUGAAAAGACUGGGAAAAAAUAAAUGUGAUUCAGAAUGAGCCUUAUAUGAAAGUUUAAUGUUAGGUCAUAUAAUUUGAUAAAUACAUCAGCACUCUGAGAUAAUAAUCAACACCAAACUUCAUUUCUGAU